RNAcentral lists this long non-coding RNA (464 nucleotides) under Zostera marina. RNAcentral describes it as "long non-coding RNA (ZMAR_LNC004864)". Lineage: Eukaryota; Viridiplantae; Streptophyta; Magnoliopsida; Alismatales; Zosteraceae. The record is from RNAcentral.
CGAAGGUAUGAAUUUGUUUCUUAAGACAAAAUUUACAUCUAUCAGAAUAUGAUUAAUACCAUUCGUGAGUCUGAAAAUUUGGACGAUCACAAAGACACUUUCUGGCAUCCAAGAUUUAUUACGUCUAUGGACAUUGAGAAAGAUGCUUUGACUUCCUUUACCACUGCUAUUUUCCUUUUAUUUCAAGAGGAAAUGUGGAAAAGCUUCUUCUACCAUAUAUUACCACUGAAUGACAAGUCUUCCGAGGUUUUUAUUUUUUCUAUCACUUUGGUUUUUCCGUUUUUUGUUCAUUAUACUUUUGCAUAGGCUUACCAUUUUAUUCUACAAAUUUUUUUCUUUCUUACAGGAUACUCAAUAUCUACCAGUUAUGUCUUUAGAAAGACAAAGCGUGUUAUUUAAACUCACUCUUACGAAAGGGAAUUCUACACCGAUAUGCACAUGCCAUCGUUUUCAAUAUAGCGGCA